UACGAAGGGGGCUAGCGUUGCUCGGAAUGACUGGGCGUAAAGGGCGCGUAGGCGGAUUGUACAGUCAGGCGUGAAAUUCCCGGGCUCAACCUGGGGGCUGCGCUUUAGACGUGCGAUCUUGAGUGGGGAAGAGGGUCGUGGAAUUCCCAGUGUAGAGGUGAAAUUCGUAGAUAUUGGGAAGAACACCGGUGGCGAAGGCGGCGACCUGGUCCUUGACUGACGCUGAGGCGCGAAAGCGUGGGGAGCAAACAGG
Molecule: ribosomal RNA, 253 nt
Filed under: uncultured bacterium
Lineage: Bacteria
Description: partial 16S ribosomal RNA
Rfam family: Bacterial small subunit ribosomal RNA
Source: RNAcentral